RNAcentral lists this ribosomal RNA (1455 nucleotides) under uncultured organism. Its description in RNAcentral is "16S ribosomal RNA". It matches the Rfam family "Bacterial small subunit ribosomal RNA". The record is from RNAcentral.
GUGCCUAAUACAUGCAAGUCGAGCGAACAGACGAGGAUUUUGCUCCUCUGACGUUAGCGGCGGACGGGUGAGUAACACGUGGAUAACCUACCUAUAAGACUGGGAUAACUUCGGGAAACCGGAGCUAAUACCGGAUAACAUGUUGAACCGCAUGGUUCAACAGUGAAAGACGGUCUUGCUGUCACUUAUAGAUGGAUCCGCGCCGCAUUAGCUAGUUGGUAAGGUAACGGCUUACCAAGGCAACGAUGCGUAGCCGACCUGAGAGGGGGAUCGGCCACACUGGAACUGAGACACGGUCCAGACUCCUACGGGAGGCAGCAGUAGGGAAUCUUCCGCAAUGGGCGAAAGCCUGACGGAGCAACGCCGCGUGAGUGAAGAAGGUCUUCGGAUCGUAAAACUCUGUUAUUAGGGAAGAACAAAUGUGUAAGUAACUAUGCACGUCUUGACGGUACCUAAUCAGAAAGCCACGGCUAACUACGUGCCAGCAGCCGCGGUAAUACGUAGGUGGCAAGCGUUAUCCGGAAUUAUUGGGCGUAAAGCGCGCGUAGGCGGUUUUUUAAGUCUGAUGUGAAAGCCCACGGCUCAACCGUGGAGGGUCAUUGGAAACUGGAAAACUUGAGUGCAGAAGAGGAAAGUGGAAUUCCAUGUGUAGCGGUGAAAUGCGCAGAGAUAUGGAGGAACACCAGUGGCGAAGGCGACUUUCUGGUCUGUAACUGACGCUGAUGUGCGAAAGCGUGGGGAUCAAACAGGAUUAGAUACCCUGGUAGUCCACGCCGUAAACGAUGAGUGCUAAGUGUUAGGGGGUUUCCGCCCCUUAGUGCUGCAGCUAACGCAUUAAGCACUCCGCCUGGGGAGUACGACCGCAAGGUUGAAACUCAAAGGAAUUGACGGGGACCCGCACAAGCGGUGGAGCAUGUGGUUUAAUUCGAAGCAACGCGAAGAACCUUACCAAAUCUUGACAUCCUCUGACCCCUCUAGAGAUAGAGUUUUCCCCUUCGGGGGACAGAGUGACAGGUGGUGCAUGGUUGUCGUCAGCUCGUGUCGUGAGAUGUUGGGUUAAGUCCCGCAACGAGCGCAACCCUUAAGCUUAGUUGCCAUCAUUAAGUUGGGCACUCUAAGUUGACUGCCGGUGACAAACCGGAGGAAGGUGGGGAUGACGUCAAAUCAUCAUGCCCCUUAUGAUUUGGGCUACACACGUGCUACAAUGGACAAUACAAAGGGUAGCGAAACCGCGAGGUCAAGCAAAUCCCAUAAAGUUGUUCUCAGUUCGGAUUGUAGUCUGCAACUCGACUACAUGAAGCUGGAAUCGCUAGUAAUCGUAGAUCAGCAUGCUACGGUGAAUACGUUCCCGGGUCUUGUACACACCGCCCGUCACACCACGAGAGUUUGUAACACCCGAAGCCGGUGGAGUAACCUUUUGGAGCUAGCCGUCGAAGGUGGGACAAAUGAUUGGGG